This 691-nucleotide ribosomal RNA is filed under the name uncultured bacterium. RNAcentral describes it as "bacterial SSU rRNA". It matches the Rfam family "Bacterial small subunit ribosomal RNA", at positions 240 to 931 of the family's 1533-position model. The record is from RNAcentral.
AUUAGCUAGAUGGCGGGGUAACGGCCCACCAUGGCCAUGAUGUUUAGGGGAUCUGAGAGGAUGGCCCCCCACACUGGUACUGAGACACGGACCAGACUCCUACGGGAGGCAGCAGUAAGGAAUAUUGGUCAAUGGGCGGAAGCCUGAACCAGCCAUGCCGCGUGCAGGAAGACGGCCCUACGGGUUGUAAACUGCUUUUGUACCGGAAUAAACCUCUUUUCGUGAAAAGAGCUGAAUGUACGGUAAGAAUAAGGAUCGGCUAACUCCGUGCCAGCAGCCGCGGUAAUACGGAGGAUCCAAGCGUUAUCCGGAUUUAUUGGGUUUAAAGGGUGCGUAGGCGGCCUGUUAAGUCAGAGGUGAAAGGCGGUAGCUUAACUAUCGGAGUGCCUUUGAUACUGACGGGCUUGAAUGCAGCUGAGGUAGGCGGAAUGUGACAAGUAGCGGUGAAAUGCAUAGAUAUGUCACAGAACACCGAUUGCGAAGGCAGCUUACUAAAGUGUGAUUGACGCUGAGGCACGAAAGCGUGGGGAUCAAACAGGAUUAGAUACCCUGGUAGUCCACGCCCUAAACGAUGAAUACUCGAUGUUGGCGAUAUACGGUCAGCGUCUAAGCGAAAGCGUUAAGUAUUCCACCUGGGGAGUACGCCCGCAAGGGUGAAACUCAAAGGAAUUGACGGGGGCCCGCACAAGCG